UCCUCCAUAGCUCAGUGGUUAGAGCAUCCAACUGGCACCUGGACAGUCAUGGGUUUGAUUACUGUUGGAGAGCUCAGAA
This is a non-coding RNA of Desmophyllum pertusum, 79 nucleotides long. Lineage: Eukaryota; Metazoa; Cnidaria; Anthozoa; Scleractinia; Caryophylliidae. The record is from the annotation of a GenBank genome assembly.